RNAcentral lists this small RNA (371 nucleotides) under Histoplasma capsulatum var. duboisii H88. RNAcentral describes it as "Histoplasma capsulatum H88 hypothetical RNA". Lineage: Eukaryota; Fungi; Ascomycota; Eurotiomycetes; Onygenales; Ajellomycetaceae. The record is from RNAcentral.
CGUUUGUUCACUUCGGUUAAUCAGCCUCACUGCGGAUGACGAGGGGUAUCUCGAUCCUGGCAUAGUUUCUUUAUUUUGUAAAUUAGUCAUCGUUGCGUUAUUUAUCUGGUUGCUAUCAAAAACUUCGCCUAUGAUUCGUGGCUACUCCAGCCUCUGUCACGGACAUGAACUUUGGCCAGCAUUCGCUUCCGUUUACCAGGAUUAGCGGAGAUUUCCCCUGUCGGAACCAAUUUGGGACUCAGCUCUUCCUGCGGCAAAUCCUCAGCCUCAUACUUGCUCUUCGGCAAUAUAUUAUUUCCAGGCCACUCGUAUGCUGGUCUUUUUUCGCUUUAUUUCAGAGAGACAAUAGGAGUAUGUUUUCCGAUUCUCGG